ACCGCGAUAGCUCAGCUGCUAGAGCAUCUGCCCGGUAUGCGGAGGGCUGCCUGUUCGAUUCCGGCUCGCGGCG
RNAcentral lists this transfer RNA (73 nucleotides) under Fasciola hepatica (liver fluke). It matches the Rfam family "tRNA". Rfam says of the family: Transfer RNA (tRNA) molecules are approximately 80 nucleotides in length. Their secondary structure includes four short double-helical elements and three loops (D, anti-codon, and T loops). Further hydrogen bonds mediate the characteristic L-shaped molecular structure. tRNAs have two regions of fundamental functional importance: the anti-codon, which is responsible for specific mRNA codon recognition, and the 3' end, to which the tRNAs corresponding amino acid is attached (by aminoacyl-tRNA synthetases). tRNAs cope with the degeneracy of the genetic code in two manners: having more than one tRNA (with a specific anti-codon) for a particular amino acid; and 'wobble' base-pairing, i.e. permitting non-standard base-pairing at the 3rd anti-codon position. The record is from Rfam by way of RNAcentral. Lineage: Eukaryota; Metazoa; Platyhelminthes; Trematoda; Plagiorchiida; Fasciolidae.